RNAcentral lists this ribosomal RNA (416 nucleotides) under uncultured bacterium. Its description in RNAcentral is "bacterial SSU rRNA". It matches the Rfam family "Bacterial small subunit ribosomal RNA", at positions 355 to 786 of the family's 1533-position model. The record is from RNAcentral.
UAGGGAAUAUUGCACAAUGGGGAAGACCCUGAUGCAGCGACGCCGCGUGAAGGAAGAAGUAUCUCGGUAUGUAAACUUCUAUCAGCAGGGAAGAAAAUGACGGGUAACCUGACUAAGAAGCCCCGGCUAACUACGCUGCCAGCAGCCGCGGUAAUACGUAGGGGCAAGCGGUUAUCCGGAUUUACUGGGUGUAAAGGGAGCGUAGACGGAGCAGCAAGUCUGAUGUGAAAGGCAGGGGCUCAACCCCUGACCUGCAUUGGAAACUGUUGGUCUUGAGUACCGGAGGGGUAAGCGGAAUUCCUAGUGUAGGGUGAAAUGCGUAGAUAUUAGGAGGAACACCAGUGGCGAAGGCGGCUUACUGGACGGUAACUGACGUUGAGGCUCGAAAGCGUGGGGAGCAAACAGGAUUAGAUACC